AUGCUUGACAGCCAGAGAUGGGGAGGGGAGUGGAGAGCCAGGACAGGGGGGUGGGGUCGGGGGGUGCCAAUGAAGCUUUUUUCCCCUUCCCGGCCUCCUGGGCACAAACCGCGGUUUAAAAAUAACCUGAGACUGGAUGUCUGGACCCUGCCAGGACCGGCUCGGGCCGGCUCCCACCCCUCUACCCCCCCCCCCCCCCCCCGCCCCCCAGCUGCACGCACACGGUUCUCGCUGUCCCCCUUCACCCUCCUCGUCCAUCAUCCCCCCCUUCCUCGGCCCUCAGAGCUGCCCACCCGGGGGGAGGCGGGGGCGGGACGGUCCCGAUCCCCAAAUGAGUCUUUUCAACCAGCUUCUUCUCUCGUUUCCCCACCCCGGGACCCUUCCCCUCCAACAUCUCCUGCCCCUCUCCCCUUCAUCCCCCACCUCCCACCUCCCCGCCCUAGUCCUCUGCCCAUGUGCCCCACAGGCCUUGCCCCGCUCCACCCCCCCCCGAAGUGGCCCCAGAGGAGGUUUGGGGGGCUGCGGCUCCCCCUCGUUCCGCCCCAGCUCGCCCCCCUUCCUCCCCGCCCCUCCCCACCUGGCCCGCCCGCACGCUCUCCGUCCUCGGCUUUUCCUAGAACUGGGGGCCUCCUGGGGCCUUACAGAGGAGGCUUGUUCCUGCCUCUCCCCACCUUCCCUCGGCCCUCCCGCGGCCCACCCGCCCGUGGCCCACCCCCAGGGCCUCACGGGCUCCGUGGAUCCCCGCCCCCACCCCCCAGUAAUGCCCAGAGAGGGGAGCUGAGGGAAGGGGGAGGAGGGAGGAUGGGGCAGGAGCGGAGUCCUUGGGGUGUAAGGGCAGGGCUGGGGGGGCAAGAUGCCCGGGUCCCUCGGGGGAAGGAGGAAGGAGGGGAGACGGGACACCCGGGUCCUUUCAGAGCCUGGGGGCAAGGGGUCUGGGGGGUGGGGGUCAGUAGCAGAAGCUGGGGCGUUGGGACAGGAGGACUCAUCCGGCCCCAGAUGAUAACUCUCUCUCUUUCUCUCUUCCCCCCUCGCCCCAACUCCCCACCUUCAGCUUCCUCUCGGGGGCUCCCGCCCCUCCUCCCCGGCCCUGUCCCUGCUCCGAGAAGGCAGCCCCGCCCGGAAGACCCCCGACCCCUUCGGCGUGGCCGCCCAGCGCCUCGGCCUCUUUGUCAUCGGAGGGGCCGUAGACAGCGACGAUGA
Molecule: long non-coding RNA, 1200 nt
Filed under: Ornithorhynchus anatinus (platypus)
Lineage: Eukaryota; Metazoa; Chordata; Mammalia; Monotremata; Ornithorhynchidae
Description: lncRNA (ENSOANG00000047272.1)
Source: RNAcentral